GCUAAGCGUGGUGCAGGGGGCGCUGUAAGAAGGAGCGUGCGAACGUUGUUCGGAAUCACGGGGCUUGAAGGGGGCGUAGGCGGGUUGCCGCGGCCGGGGGGAAAUGCCACGGCUCAACCGUGGAACUGCCUCGGAUACGGGCGGCCUCGAGGGAGGUAGGGGCAUCGGGAACUGUGAGUGGAGCGGUGAAAUGCGUUGAUAUUCACAGGAACUCCGGUGGCGAAGGCGCGGUGCUGGACCUCAUCUGACGCUGAGGCGCGAAAGCCAGGGGAGCGAACGGGAUUAGAUACCCAUGUAGUC
This 300-nucleotide ribosomal RNA is filed under the name uncultured Costertonia sp. RNAcentral describes it as "bacterial SSU rRNA". It matches the Rfam family "Bacterial small subunit ribosomal RNA", at positions 496 to 795 of the family's 1533-position model. Lineage: Bacteria; Pseudomonadati; Bacteroidota; Flavobacteriia; Flavobacteriales; Flavobacteriaceae. The record is from RNAcentral.